CUGGGGUCCAGGCUGUUCGGGUCCGUGGAGACAGAGGACGUGGAGGAAACGCGCGACUUGGCCUCGGCUGCGUUGGGCACUCGCAGGGUGAUUUCCUCCGGGCGCUGGCUGGCAUCUGCUCCCGGGGAGAGAGCCAAGAAACACGUCCACAGUGUCCUGGUCUGACAGGUCCAUCAUGUCCAUCUGCUCCAGCAUGUCCACAUUCACCUCCAUGGAGGAAAUGCUGCCUAAGGGAGCUGCAGAGAACAGGGUCCAGCAAAAAGGUGAGACAUUGGAAAGAAGAAAUCCACGUCGUGCUGGAAAACCUCCUCAAAGAACUUCUGCCGGUCCCGCAGUUUGAGCUGCUGCUGCAUCUGCUCCGCAUCCAGGCUGUGCUGCCCCUGCUCCAUGUUGGCUGGGGAGGAAGGUGAGGAGGGUCAGGAUAAGCAGGGCUCUCCGAGCCCUUCUCCCUGUCCCAGCUCAUGUGGUGCUGCUGUGCUGGAGGGCACCUGCCCGGGAAGCCGGGUCCCUCUGCCUGCAGCGCACUGCUGGAGAUGCGGUGUGACUCAGGGCUUGCUCACCACGGGCUUCCUGGAAGCAGCUCUGGUCCUCUCGACCACCCAGCGCGUCCCUGCCGUGCCCAGCGUGGGGUCCUGGCUGCCUGCAGGGGCCGUGGUCUGGCAUGUCCAGCCUAAGCACUGGGCACCUGCAGCAGUGGGAGGGCUCCCUUGCCUGGUCCUGCUCCAGCCCGCGCUCUGCAGCGUGGCCUCAGGGGCCGGGCUGUGCCCCUGCCUCCCGUCCCGCGGUCUGUUUUUAGGCGUUGAGGGGGACGGACUAGCUCGCCACGCUGCAGCUUGCCGAAGGGGCCCUUGCUUCAAUAUAUGCAGGGUGUCUAAAUCCUCCUGCAGCACAAAUGCAAUAUAAACCAAAAUCCUGCUCUAAGGGGUCAA
This is a long non-coding RNA of Dromaius novaehollandiae (emu), 929 nucleotides long. RefSeq lists it as uncharacterized. The transcript has 4 exons. NCBI's taxonomy places the organism in Eukaryota, Metazoa, Chordata, Aves, Casuariiformes, Dromaiidae. The record is from RefSeq and is a predicted model, not a curated record.